UCAGAGCGAACGCUGGCGGCGUACUUAACACAUGCAAGUCGAACGAGGAGCUUCGGUGUAGCAAUACAUCGGAGCUUCUAGUGGCGUACGGGUGAGUAACACGUGGGCAACCUGCCCUUGAGUCCGGGAUACCCUCUCGAAAGGGAGGCUAAUACUGGAUACGUUCUCCGGAUCGCGAGGUCUGGAGAGGAAAGGUGGCGAAAGCUGCCGCUCUUGGAGGGGCUCGCGGCCUAUCAGCUAGUUGGUGAGGUCACGGCUCACCAAGGCUAUGACGGGUAGCUGGUCUGAGAGGACGACCAGCCACACGGGAACUGAGACACGGUCCCGACUCCUACGGGAGGCAGCAGUGGGGAAUUUUCCGCAAUGGGCGAAAGCCUGACGGAGUGACGCCGCGUGGGGGAUGAAGGCCUUCGGGUUGUAAACCCCUGUCAGAGGGAAAGAAGGGUCGGCGCGUAAAUAGCGCGUCGAUCUGACGGUACCUUCAGAGGAAGCCCCGGCCAACUCUGUGCCAGCAGCCGCGGUAAGACAGAGGGGGCAAGCGUUGCUCGGAAUUACUGGGCGUAAAGGGCGCGUAGGCGGGAUGGCAAGUCGGUCGUGAAAUCCCUGGGCUCAACUCAGGGGGGUCGGCCGAUACUGCCAUUCUUGAGGGAUGCAGAGGAGACUGGAAUUCCCGGUGUAGCGGUGAAAUGUGUAGAGAUCGGGAGGAACACCGGUGGCGAAGGCGGGUCUCUGGGCAUUCCCUGACGCUGAGGCGCGAAAGCGUGGGGAGCAAACGGGAUUAGAUACCCCGGUAGUCCACGCGGUAAACGAUGACGACUAGGUGUGGGGGGGUUAAGUCC
This 839-nucleotide ribosomal RNA is filed under the name uncultured bacterium. RNAcentral describes it as "bacterial SSU rRNA". It matches the Rfam family "Bacterial small subunit ribosomal RNA", at positions 24 to 838 of the family's 1533-position model. The record is from RNAcentral.